This 490-nucleotide ribosomal RNA is filed under the name Bacillus toyonensis. Its description in RNAcentral is "bacterial SSU rRNA". It matches the Rfam family "Bacterial small subunit ribosomal RNA", at positions 211 to 692 of the family's 1533-position model. The record is from RNAcentral. Lineage: Bacteria; Bacillati; Bacillota; Bacilli; Caryophanales; Bacillaceae.
GCUGUCACUUAUGGAUGGACCCGCGUCGCAUUAGCUAGUUGGUGAGGUAACGGCUCACCAAGGCAACGAUGCGUAGCCGACCUGAGAGGGUGAUCGGCCACACUGGGACUGAGACACGGCCCAGACUCCUACGGGAGGCAGCAGUAGGGAAUCUUCCGCAAUGGACGAAAGUCUGACGGAGCAACGCCGCGUGAGUGAUGAAGGCUUUCGGGUCGUAAAACUCUGUUGUUAGGGAAGAACAAGUGCUAGUUGAAUAAGCUGGCACCUUGACGGUACCUAACCAGAAAGCCACGGCUAACUACGUGCCAGCAGCCGCGGUAAUACGUAGGUGGCAAGCGUUAUCCGGAAUUAUUGGGCGUAAAGCGCGCGCAGGUGGUUUCUUAAGUCUGAUGUGAAAGCCCACGGCUCAACCGUGGAGGGUCAUUGGAAACUGGGAGACUUGAGUGCAGAAGAGGAAAGUGGAAUUCCAUGUGUAGCGGUGAAAUGCGUA